AUAAGUGCAUCAGGCGGAUGCCUUGGCGAUGAUAGGCGACGAAGGACGUGUAAGCCUGCGAAAAGCGCGGGGGAGCUGGCAAUAAAGCUAUGAUUCCGCGAUGUCCGAAUGGGGAAACCCACUGCAUUCUGUGCAGUAUCCUAAGUUGAAUACAUAGGCUUAGAGAAGCGAACCCGGAGAACUGAACCAUCUAAGUACCCGGAGGAAAAGAAAUCAACCGAGAUUCCGCAAGUAGUGGCGAGCGAACGCGGAGGAGCCUGUACGUAAUAACUGUCGAGAUAGAAGAACAAGCUGGGAAGCUUGACCAUAGCGGGUGACAGUCCCGUAUUCGAAAUCUCAACAGCGGUACUAAGCGUACGAAAAGUAGGGCGGGACACGUGAAAUCCUGUCUGAAUAUGGGGGGACCAUCCUCCAAGGCUAAAUACUCAUCAUCGACCGAUAGUGAACCAGUACCGUGAGGGAAAGGCGAAAAGAACCCCGGGAGGGGAGUGAAACAGAACCUGAAACCUGAUGCAUACAAACAGUGGGAGCGCCCUAGUGGUGUGACUGCGUACCUUUUGUAUAAUGGGUCAACGACUUACAUUCAGUAGCGAGCUUAACCGGAUAGGGGAGGCGUAGGGAAACCGAGUCUUAAUAGGGCGAUGAGUUGCUGGGUGUAGACCCGAAACCGAGUGAUCUAUCCAUGGCCAGGUUGAAGGUGCCGUAACAGGUACUGGAGGACCGAACCCACGCAUGUUGCAAAAUGCGGGGAUGAGCUGUGGGUAGGGGUGAAAGGCUAAACAAACUCGGAGAUAGCUGGUUCUCCCCGAAAACUAUUUAGGUAGUGCCUCGAGCAAGACACUGAUGGGGGUAAAGCACUGUUAUGGCUAGGGGGUUAUUGCAACUUACCAACCCAUGGCAAACUCAGAAUACCAUCAAGUGGUUCCUCGGGAGACAGACAGCGGGUGCUAACGUCCGUUGUCAAGAGGGAAACAACCCAGACCGCCGGCUAAGGUCCCAAAUGAUAGAUUAAGUGGUAAACGAAGUGGGAAGGCACAGACAGCCAGGAUGUUGGCUUAGAAGCAGCCAUCAUUUAAAGAAAGCGUAAUAGCUCACUGGUCGAGUCGUCCUGCGCGGAAGAUGUAACGGGGCUCAAAUCUAUAACCGAAGCUGCGGAUGCCGGUUUACCGGCAUGGUAGGGGAGCGUUCUGUAGGCUGAUGAAGGUGCAUUGUAAAGUGUGCUGGAGGUAUCAGAAGUGCGAAUGUUGACAUGAGUAGCGAUAAAGCGGGUGAAAAGCCCGCUCGCCGAAAGCCCAAGGUUUCCUACGCAACGUUCAUCGGCGUAGGGUAAGUCGGCCCCUAAGGCGAGGCAGAAAUGCGUAGUCGAUGGGAAACAGGUUAAUAUUCCUGUACUUGAUUCAAAUGCGAUGUGGGGACGGAGAAGGUUAGGUUGGCAAGCUGUUGGAAUAGCUUGUUUAAGCCGGUAGGUGGAAGACUUAGGCAAAUCCGGGUUUUCUUAACACCGAGAAGUGAUGACGAGUGUCUACGGACACGAAGCAACCGAUACCACGCUUCCAGGAAAAGCCACUAAGCUUCAGUUUGAAUCGAACCGUACCGCAAACCGACACAGGUGGGCAGGAUGAGAAUUCUAAGGCGCUUGAGAGAACUCGGGAGAAGGAACUCGGCAAAUUGAUACCGUAACUUCGGGAGAAGGUAUGCCCUCUAAGGUUAAGGACUUGCUCCGUAAGCCCCGGAGGGUCGCAGAGAAUAGGUGGCUGCGACUGUUUAUUAAAAACACAGCACUCUGCCAACACGAAAGUGGACGUAUAGGGUGUGACGCCUGCCCGGUGCCGGAAGGUUAAUUGAAGAUGUGCAAGCAUCGGAUCGAAGCCCCGGUAAACGGCGGCCGUAACUAUAACGGUCCUAAGGUAGCGAAAUUCCUUGUCGGGUAAGUUCCGACCCGCACGAAUGGCGUAACGAUGGCCACACUGUCUCCUCCCGAGACUCAGCGAAGUUGAAGUGGUUGUGAAGAUGCAAUCUACCCGCUGCUAGACGGAAAGACCCCGUGAACCUUUACUGUAGCUUUGCAUUGGACUUUGAAGUCACUUGUGUAGGAUAGGUGGGAGGCUUGGAAGCAGAGACGCCAGUCUCUGUGGAGUCGUCCUUGAAAUACCACCCUGGUGUCUUUGAGGUUCUAACCCAGACCCGUCAUCCGGGUCGGGGACCGUGCAUGGUAGGCAGUUUGACUGGGGCGGUCUCCUCCCAAAGCGUAACGGAGGAGUUCGAAGGUUACCUAGGUCCGGUCGGAAAUCGGACUGAUAGUGCAAUGGCAAAAGGUAGCUUAACUGCGAGACCGACAAGUCGGGCAGGUGCGAAAGCAGGACAUAGUGAUCCGGUGGUUCUGUAUGGAAGGGCCAUCGCUCAACGGAUAAAAGGUACUCCGGGGAUAACAGGCUGAUUCCGCCCAAGAGUUCAUAUCGACGGCGGAGUUUGGCACCUCGAUGUCGGCUCAUCACAUCCUGGGGCUGUAGUCGGUCCCAAGGGUAUGGCUGUUCGCCAUUUAAAGUGGUACGUGAGCUGGGUUUAAAACGUCGUGAGACAGUUUGGUCCCUAUCUGCAGUGGGCGUUGGAAGUUUGACGGGGGCUGCUCCUAGUACGAGAGGACCGGAGUGGACGAACCUCUGGUGUACCGGUUGUAACGCCAGUUGCAUAGCCGGGUAGCUAAGUUCGGAAGAGAUAAGCGCUGAAAGCAUCUAAGCGCGAAACUCGCCUGAAGAUGAGACUUCCCUUGCGGUUUAACCGCACUAAAGGGUCGUUCGAGACCAGGACGUUGAUAGGUGGGGUGUGGAAGCGCGGUAACGCGUGAAGCUAACCCAUACUAAUUGCCCGUGAGGCUUGACU
Molecule: ribosomal RNA, 2880 nt
Filed under: Neisseria gonorrhoeae
Lineage: Bacteria; Pseudomonadati; Pseudomonadota; Betaproteobacteria; Neisseriales; Neisseriaceae
Description: bacterial LSU rRNA
Rfam family: Bacterial large subunit ribosomal RNA
Source: RNAcentral